UCCAAAAAUGAGAGAAAGAAAGUUUCACCAUGAAUCGUCUUGGUUUGGCAUUACUUGUGCUGGUUGCACUGGCUGGCAUUAUCAGUGAACAAGAUGGUGUUGAAUCAGCUACUCACACUUGCACAGAACAUAAAGGUGUCUGUCGUUCAAACUGCUGUCGAAUUGGGGAAUAUAAUAUGGGUCCACAUGCAGGCUGCUCAGGAAAUGAAGUCUGCUGUCUAACAUAAAGAAACUGGUUAUUGUGCAAGAAAUAACUACCAACAAGGAAAGAGACAAAAACAUUUCCUUCUGGAGAUGCUUUCAUGUUUCAUGCAGCUAUGACUGUUAUAAUGUAUCCGGUUACCUAUCAUUCCAUCG
Long non-coding RNA from Protopterus annectens (West African lungfish), 357 nucleotides. RefSeq lists it as uncharacterized. Lineage: Eukaryota; Metazoa; Chordata; Ceratodontiformes; Protopteridae. The record is from RefSeq and is a predicted model, not a curated record. The transcript has 3 exons.